UGCAAGUCGAGCGGUAGAGAGAAGCUUGCUUCUCUUGAGAGCGGCGGACGGGUGAGUAAUGCCUAGGAAUCUGCCUGGUAGUGGGGGAUAACGUUCGGAAACGGACGCUAAUACCGCAUACGUCCUACGGGAGAAAGCAGGGGACCUUCGGGCCUUGCGCUAUCAGAUGAGCCUAGGUCGGAUUAGCUAGUUGGUGAGGUAAUGGCUCACCAAGGCGACGAUCCGUAACUGGUCUGAGAGGAUGAUCAGUCACACUGGAACUGAGACACGGUCCAGACUCCUACGGGAGGCAGCAGUGGGGAAUAUUGGACAAUGGGCGAAAGCCUGAUCCAGCCAUGCCGCGUGUGUGAAGAAGGUCUUCGGAUUGUAAAGCACUUUAAGUUGGGAGGAAGGGUUGUAGAUUAAUACUCUGCAAUUUUGACGUUACCGACAGAAUAAGCACCGGCUAACUCUGUGCCAGCAGCCGCGGUAAUACAGAGGGUGCAAGCGUUAAUCGGAAUUACUGGGCGUAAAGCGCGCGUAGGUGGUUUGUUAAGUUGGAUGUGAAAUCCCCGGGCUCAACCUGGGAACUGCAUUCAAAACUGACUGACUAGAGUAUGGUAGAGGGUGGUGGAAUUUCCUGUGUAGCGGUGAAAUGCGUAGAUAUAGGAAGGAACACCAGUGGCGAAGGCGACCACCUGGACUAAUACUGACACUGAGGUGCGAAAGCG
RNAcentral lists this ribosomal RNA (710 nucleotides) under Pseudomonas sp. 4D-W-10. RNAcentral's name for it is "bacterial SSU rRNA". It matches the Rfam family "Bacterial small subunit ribosomal RNA", at positions 56 to 761 of the family's 1533-position model. The record is from RNAcentral. RNAcentral also lists the same sequence under 8 other names. Lineage: Bacteria; Pseudomonadati; Pseudomonadota; Gammaproteobacteria; Pseudomonadales; Pseudomonadaceae.